AGACCCGAAACCCGGUGAUCUAGCCAUGGGCAGGUUGAAGGUUGGGUAACACUAACUGGAGGACCGAACCGACUAAUGUUGAAAAAUUAGCGGAUGACCUGUGGCUGGGGGUGAAAGGCCAAUCAAACCGGGAGAUAGCUGGUUCUCCCCGAAAGCUAUUUAGGUAGCGCCUCGUGAAUUCAUCUCCGGGGGUAGAGCACUGUUUCGGCUAGGGGGCCAUCCCGGCUUACCAACCCGAUGCAAACUGCGAAUACCGGAGAAUGUUAUCACGGGAGACACACGGCGGGUGCUAACGUCCGUCGUGAAGAGGGAAACAACCCAGACCGCCAGCUAAGGUCCCAAAGUCAUGGUUAAGUGGGAAACGAUGUGGGAAGGCCCAGACAGCCAGGAUGUUGGCUUAGAAGCAGCCAUCAUUUAAAGAAAGCGUAAUAGCUCACUGGUCGAGUCGGCCUGCGCGGAAGAUGUAACGGGGCUAAACCAUGCACCGAAGCUGCGGCAGCGAACGUAUCACUUAAAGCGAUUCAGCGGGUUACGAUUGACGGAGCGAAGCGACGUCAAAGCGUAUACAAAGUCGAGUCGGUUUAAGGAUACG
RNAcentral lists this ribosomal RNA (592 nucleotides) under Salmonella enterica subsp. enterica serovar Infantis. RNAcentral describes it as "partial 23S ribosomal RNA". It matches the Rfam family "Bacterial large subunit ribosomal RNA", at positions 711 to 1232 of the family's 2925-position model. Lineage: Bacteria; Pseudomonadati; Pseudomonadota; Gammaproteobacteria; Enterobacterales; Enterobacteriaceae. The record is from RNAcentral. RNAcentral also lists the same sequence under 2 other names.